GGAAAGAUGCAAGAGCGGUUGAAUUGGCACGCCUGGAGAGCGUGUGUCCCUCUAAAGGGGACCGUGGGUUCGAAUCCCACUCUUUCCG
The sequence is a transfer RNA, 88 nucleotides long. It matches the Rfam family "tRNA". Rfam says of the family: Transfer RNA (tRNA) molecules are approximately 80 nucleotides in length. Their secondary structure includes four short double-helical elements and three loops (D, anti-codon, and T loops). Further hydrogen bonds mediate the characteristic L-shaped molecular structure. tRNAs have two regions of fundamental functional importance: the anti-codon, which is responsible for specific mRNA codon recognition, and the 3' end, to which the tRNAs corresponding amino acid is attached (by aminoacyl-tRNA synthetases). tRNAs cope with the degeneracy of the genetic code in two manners: having more than one tRNA (with a specific anti-codon) for a particular amino acid; and 'wobble' base-pairing, i.e. permitting non-standard base-pairing at the 3rd anti-codon position.